Molecule: ribosomal RNA, 424 nt
Filed under: uncultured prokaryote
Description: bacterial SSU rRNA
Rfam family: Bacterial small subunit ribosomal RNA
Source: RNAcentral
UAACGAAUCUUCCGCAAUGGGGGAAACCCUGACGGAGCAAUGCCGCGUGUGGGAUGAAGCGUCUUCGACGUGUAAACCACUGUCAGGAACGAGGAACACUGACCAGUUCCAGAGGAAGGGCCGGCUAAUUCCGUGCCAGCAGCCGCGGUAAUACGGAAGGCCCGAGCGUUAAUCGGAAUCACUGGGCUUAAAGCGUGCGCAGGCGGAUCGGCAGGCAUCUCGUGAAAUCCCACGGCUCAACCGUGGAACUGCGGGGUGAACCGCCGGUCUUGAGACAGGUAGGGGCUGAUGGAACCAUGGGUGGAGCGGUGAAAUGCGUAGAUAUCCAUGGGAACGCCGAUGGCGAAGGCAGUCAGCUGGGCCUGUUCUGACGCUCAGGCACGAAAGCGUGGGGAGCGAACGGGAUUAGAUACCCCCGUAGUCC